GAUGAACGCUGGCGGCGUGCCUAAUACAUGCAAGUCGAGCGAACAGACGAGGAGCUUGCUCCUCUGAUGUUAGCGGCGGACGGGGGAGUAACACGUGGAUAACCUACCUAUAAGACUGGGAUAAUUUCGGGAAACCGGAGCUAAUACCGGAUAACAUGUUGAACCGCAUGGUUCAACAGUGAAAGACGGUCUUGCUGUCACUUAUAGAUGGAUCCGCGCCGCAUUAGCUAGUUGGUAAGGUAACGGCUUACCAAGGCAACGAUGCGUAGCCGACCUGAGAGGGUGGUCGGCCACACUGGAACUGAAACGCGGUCCAGACUCCUACGGGAGGCAGCAGUAGGGAAUCUUCCGCAAUGGGCGAAAGCCUGACGGAGCAACGCCGCGUGAGUGAAGAUGGUCUUCGGAUCGUAAAACUCUGUUAUUAGGGAAGAACAAAUGUGUAAGUAACUAUGCACGUCUUGACGGUACCUAAUCAGAAAGCCACGGCUAACUACGUG
Molecule: ribosomal RNA, 497 nt
Filed under: uncultured bacterium
Lineage: Bacteria
Description: partial 16S ribosomal RNA
Rfam family: Bacterial small subunit ribosomal RNA
Source: RNAcentral